Molecule: long non-coding RNA, 3041 nt
Organism: Gallus gallus (chicken)
Lineage: Eukaryota; Metazoa; Chordata; Aves; Galliformes; Phasianidae
Source: Ensembl
CAAUAAAGAAAAACAAACAAACAAAAAGUUUAGCAAGCUUUUCCUACAUCUUCCACUAAGUUCAGUAAAUAAUUCAGAGAAAAUAAGUUCAAAGAAUAUCCUAAUUCUUCACUGAAUUCUUCUGACAGUCUGUUAACAAACAGAGAUAUCUGGGUGGUUGAAAUCAGGAUGAAAGCCUGCAAGAGCGAUCCCUCUUUGUUGCUGAAGAAGAAGGCUUUUUCCACAGACUCCCCUGCUCCGCCUGAUGAAGUAGCCUGUAGAAGACCCCAACCAGUGGACAUAAUUUGUUGCUGUGUUAUCCUGUAACUCACAUACUAUGGCACUUGCAAGAACCUUCUUGGUGUUCAUUCAGCUGUGAAACAAAACAGUUCAAGGAGCAGAGCUGCAUGAUAUCUAUCUGGGAGCAACAUAGAGGAUAAUUUCAGGAGAACUGAGUUAGACUGACUUGAUGUGCCCUGGCUAAUUUUAAUCUACUCUUGGAUCAUCUACUAGAGCAAAGCAAAAUGCAUAUUCUAGCACAGAGAUAGCAUCUCCUCCCCCAAAAUCUACUCCUAGUACCUUUAGUAAAUCCCUGUGAAGUAAUUGAACAUCUCAGCUUGGAUAUUCAUUUGUCCUCAAGACAGGCAGUCUGUCAAAAUGGUGUCUGACAUUAAAGAGAGAAUAAAGAGAAGAUGUGUCAUUGAAUUCCUUCACACACACACACACACAAAAUGGAACUAUUUGACAUUGACUCUGAAUGUUUUGGAGAUCAAGAUUUGGACAGGAGCAUCCUGAAGCAGUAGGAGCUAUGUUUCAGCAGUGGCAACAGUGGGUCACCUCCAGUGUUUCCAAGAAAAUACAUAGGAGGAAUUACUUUCAAGGUGACAUAUGCAGUUCAAGACAAUUCCUCUUCUCUCAGUGCAGUCCUGACAAGCCAAAAGGUUGGACGCCCAUGGACUACUGCCUCUCUUUUGUUAUGAAUGACACUGGAAAAGAAGGCUGUCAAGCAAGUACUGUCACAUGUGGAUUAUCAGUUUGAGAGGAAGACACUGAAAGGCAUAAGAUUUCAGAAUAAUCAUACAAUCAAAGAAUCAUUAAGACCACUGAAAAUGUCACUAAGAUCAUCUAGUCCGACCAUCAACCCAUGAUCACCAUGUUCCCUAAGCCGUGUCUCUAAGUGCCAUGUCUACAUGUUUCUUGAAAACCUCCAGGGAUGGUGACUCCAUUUCUUCCCUGGUCAGUUUGUUCCAAUACAUUAACACUCCAAGAAGAAAUUUUCCUAAUGUCCAACCUGAACCUCCCCUCGUGCAACUUAAAGCCGUUCUCUCUCAUCCUAUUGCUGUUACCUGGGAGAAGAAUCCAAUCUCCACCUUGCCACAAUUUCCUUUCAGGCUGCUGUAGUGAGCUACAAAGUCUCUCCUGAGCCUCCUCUACUCAAGACUUCACAAUCCCAGUUCCCUUAGCCACUCCUCAUAAGUCUUGUGCUCCAGAUCUAAUUAAAGGGAAUAUUCUCAUUAGACAGUACCUUAUUUAUAGAUAAUUAAUUGUAUAGGAAUAUAAAAUCAGAUAAUCUAUUUUCUUCCUUCAGAGAAAUUAUUUUUCUGGUUUAUUUUUAGAUAUUUUGACUGUCUAUAUUGUUGGGCUGAACUUGCCAAACUUCAUAGUAUCCAUAUACAUCCUAAGCCCACAGGUCUAGCCCAUCAGACCAAUUUAAAGGGGAUCAAAAAGUUGUCUACAUGCUCAGCACCAGAAUCCUGAGUGAAAUAUAUGUGCCAGGACUUUUUUGUUAAGAGGCUAUAAUGAUUUAUUUAUACAGUUUGCUACUUUUGGAGAAAUUCUACAUGUUGUUAAUAUGUAUAAAUUUACAUUUUUCAGUACUUAAGAGAUUUUAAUUUUUAUUAAAGCAUAUAAAAAUUGCAGAUGUAGCAGAUUUUCUAAGAUACAGCAAGUUAGCAACUUUUUCCUGGAUUCUUUUUGUACCAUACUUUCUUAUAUUAUUGUAGAUUAUAUGGCACAAAGCACUCAUCUGAGAAGCUUGAAAAAUAUUAAAGAUAUUACUUGAAGUUAGAGAAUUACCCCCCAAAUAUAUUAUUUUAUAGAAGUGAUAGAAUUCUGUACAUAUAUGUAUAAACAAAUAUAAAACUUACAUAAAUUUAAAAUAUAUUCCAUGUGUUUGUAUGCAUGUACAUAUAUAUAUGCAUAUAUAUAUAUAUGGGGUACACAUAUACUCCAUGGAAAAUUCAUAAAUACUUCCUCAUAUUCAUACAAAAAUGUAUGUAUCAUAUUUGAAUUAUUAGAGUGCAAGAUGCUGAAUAUUUUUUAGAGAGCAUAAAAUGUAUUUCUUGUGACUGAAAAAAUGUGACUGGAAAAAUGUGAUCUAAAAUGAGGAAUUAGCCAAAUAUUUCAGAUUCAGAAAGAGCAUAGCAACCUGUUGCUGCUAUCAGUAAAGCUGGAUAGCAUGGUCUUCCUGGAAUGGAUUCUGUACAUGGUUAAUCAAAUAGUCAUUAAUUCAAAUCCUCUGAAUUACUGUGAAAAGUGAAUUCAUGUACAUAUCUUUUCUCUCAAAAGGAAGUUGCCUACCUUGUAUCCUGUGAUAAAGAUUUAUUCUAUUAAAACCAUAAAAGGCUCACUGAGCAAAAUGGGAGAUUUGUGAUCCAUCUUAGAGUAAUUUUUUUUCUACCUUUUUAGUGAAAAUACUAUCAUGCUUUCUAUAGACAUACAGAAUAUACUGUCAGUGAAUUCACUGUCACAGUGAAUUAACCCCCUUCUCAGAAGCUCGGUGUACCCUUUUUGAUAAUUUGAUAAUUUGUGUUUCAGUAAUUGCUGCUGGGGCACUUUUGUAGGCCAUUUAUAGUUUGCUGUACUUGUGUUAUUCAAUAUUCACAUAAUCAAUAAGAAACAUUAGCACAUACAUACAGGACACAUCUAAGGCAUGAUCCUAUUGAAGAUUUUUAAUUAUGGAGAUUUCUAAAACUGCCUUUAAAUCCUCUCCAGAUUUUCAGAUAAAUAAACUUGCACAAGAUACAGCAACAAUGACAUACCAAAAAAAAAAAAAAAAAAGG